AGAAUGAAACUACCUCCUCCAGAGAAACCAGCCAAGAGAUGCAGAGAAAUGGAGCACCUCCAGCUUCAGCGAUGUCCCCGGAUCCACUCUUCAUGGGAAGCAGUCCCAUCUUUAGCUCCCCAGGUCUUACAUCUUUAAAGCAGCAAGUCUGUCCCCUUCGUGCUCAUUGAGACUAUCUGAUACCUUCAUGUUUGGACUCAUCCAGCCCCCAUCUCCUCAGUCUAUCUCAGAUCUGACAGUGGAGGCUGCUUUGUCCAGGACCAACCUUUUCUCUUGCCUCAUUUCUGCUAUGCCAGCUGAUGAAGAGCAUGCUAUGCCCUCAGCUUCUUGGACUUCACCCUGGCCCUGGAAGUCUGCCGGAAAUCACUGAGGGUUUCUGUAUUGUUGAAUGAUGCGAUCUGCCUUCCUUUGGGAAGAUAACCUUGUCCUGGGGUUAGGAAGAGGAGGAAGAGCUCUACACCCACCUGAUCUGUUCUGGAGCCAGACUUCCUUGGUUCAAAUCCCAAUUCUGCCACAUACUACCUCUGUUACUUUGGGGAAGGGGAGCUCUUCCAGGCCUCUGACUUGUGAAGACAGACACUGCAGAGGACUUUUUGCUGAGAAAAGAAGCUGAAUGAAGGGAUGGAUGUCUUUAAAAGGCCCGGUCUUGGGGGUCCAUCACCUCUCUAAGAACCAUCUUCAUCUCCUCCUCCUCUGUGCCCUUCCAGGAAAAGAGGAGCAGACUCCUCUGCUCCCAGGUGGAGAAAAGCAUGAAUUCUUUAAAAUACUUUGAGUGUAGAGUAUGGGUGUGUGGAAAACUUCCUGGAGGAGGUGAGAUGAUCUAAGGGAGGCACGUUGCUCUUGUGGGAUGGAGCAGAGCAUUCAGGGUGGAGAUUCCUGGAUGAUAUGGACAGAGGCAGAGUGAAGUUUCACAUUUUGGAGGAUGGAUAUAGCUGGGCUGCUUUGAAAGAGACAUAUCAAGAUGGAAGUGGACCCAACAUAAAAGUUAGUGGACACGACACAAAAUUGAGUGGCAGGCAUCAAUGAUUUGGAUCAGUCACCCGAGCACAUUCCCUGGAAUUCCAGCAAGUUCACAGAAGGGAUUUUCCUUCUUCAAGCCCCUCUCCCUGCCCUGCCAAUUCUUGACAGUGAUGUUAAACCACACCUGCUUGGCCCCUGAGACAUCUCUCACCUGCCCCGGGUCCUACAGGAAGAUGAACUGCCAAGGUGAAAAGGCUCAUGGCAAGAGCGUGUGUGUCCUGGGUGUGUGCCAACUUAGAAUCACAAGAAAAAGUUAACUAAGAGAUUCAUGGGACAAUGGUUACUGUCAACAAACAUUUGGUGGAUGGUCACACAUUUGGUUCUGACUUGUCCUCUGGAGAUCAAGGAAUUAGAACGGAGACAGAGGUGGGAGUUUCUAAAAAGAGGAGUUUAAUUUUAAUGUAAAGAAUAACUUCCAGUGGGCAGAACUUGAACACUGAACCUUGAAAUGGAUAGAAUGAGCUGCUUUGGAGGUCCAAGAGGCAUGGCACUGCAGUUGUCUAAGCAGGCAAUCAACAGCACUUGCCAGGGACAAUGAAUAGGAGAAUCCAGCCGUAGUGUGUGUGUGUGCGUGUGUGUGAGAGAGAAGUGAAUAAAUCAUUUCAAAACAAUCACAGGACCAUUUUGUGAAAACUUCUGAAUUUGUCUACCACAGCUGAGUACUCAUUUCAGUCUUGUGGAGACUAUCUGAAACCUAAACAGGUUCUUUGCUUCUUUGAUUUUUCUAGUUCAUACAUGCCCAAGGCUCAAUAAGAUAAACAGUCAUUUGCAGGGAGAAAACCUGGGUAUUUAUUCUUGGCUUUCUUUUGUUCUUUUCAAAAAUAGAGAUCUUUGUUUGACGAGAAACAGCAUUGCUUCUCUCUAGAGCAGAGAUCAAUAAUGGCUUUUCUGCUAGAGCUAGCAUGUAUAUUUUCUUUAUUUCCAAGGGAUCACUACUGGGAACAGGGAAGCAGAAAGCCCUCAUUCAACUGGAUGCCCUAGAACUUUUGCUUU
This 2013-nucleotide long non-coding RNA is filed under the name Sus scrofa (pig). RNAcentral's name for it is "lncRNA (ENSSSCG00015046716.1)". Lineage: Eukaryota; Metazoa; Chordata; Mammalia; Artiodactyla; Suidae. The record is from RNAcentral.